This 275-nucleotide small nuclear RNA is filed under the name Mus caroli (Ryukyu mouse). Its description in RNAcentral is "sRNA (MGP_CAROLIEiJ_G0008630.1)". The stretch from base 1 to 245 matches the Rfam family "7SK RNA", at positions 53 to 331 of the family's 331-position model. From Rfam's summary of the family: 7SK was discovered as an abundant small nuclear RNA in the mid-70s but a possible function has only recently been suggested. Lineage: Eukaryota; Metazoa; Chordata; Mammalia; Rodentia; Muridae. The record is from RNAcentral.
AAGAGUAUAGCUGGAUCUGGAUUUAGUUAGGUGUUUGUCCCUUUUGUCCCACACCCUUUUAUGAGCAUUCCUCCCAAAGCUGCACACUUGAUCAAAGAGGAUGACCUUCUCUAAAGCGAGGAGGACCAUCUUCACUCAAGGGCAUGUGAGUCUCUGUGCUUCCCUUACUAGGGCACUUAAACAAGCUCUCCAUUUCAUUAAUAGAAACAAGCCUAUUAAAACUAUCCACUGUGUCUUGUUUUGGUAGAUUGUGGAAUUUUAAGGAACAAGUUCAC